RNAcentral lists this small nuclear RNA (107 nucleotides) under Octodon degus (degu). Lineage: Eukaryota; Metazoa; Chordata; Mammalia; Rodentia; Octodontidae. The record is from RNAcentral.
GUUCUCCCUUCAGCAGCACAUAUACUAAAAUUGGAAUGAUACAGAGAAGAUUAGCCUGGCCCCUGUACGAGGAUGACAUGUAAAUUCUUGAAGCAUUCCCUGGUUUU